GGGCAAUUAGCUCAGCGGCAGAGCGCUUGCAUCACACGCAAGAAGCCGCAGGUUCGAAUCCUGCAUUGCCCA
RNAcentral lists this transfer RNA (72 nucleotides) under Candidatus Curtissbacteria bacterium RIFCSPHIGHO2_12_FULL_38_9b. RNAcentral's name for it is "tRNA-Val". It matches the Rfam family "tRNA". Rfam says of the family: Transfer RNA (tRNA) molecules are approximately 80 nucleotides in length. RNAcentral also lists the same sequence under 1 other name. Lineage: Bacteria; Candidatus Curtissiibacteriota. The record is from RNAcentral.